RNAcentral lists this ribosomal RNA (252 nucleotides) under uncultured bacterium. Its description in RNAcentral is "partial 16S ribosomal RNA". It matches the Rfam family "Bacterial small subunit ribosomal RNA", at positions 524 to 776 of the family's 1533-position model. The record is from RNAcentral.
UACGUAGGGUGCAAGCGUUGUCCGGAUUUAUUGGGCGUAAAGAGCUCGUAGGCGGUCUGUCGCGUCGGCUGUGAAAACUUGGGGCUCAACCCCAACCUGCAGUCGAUACAGGCAGACUAGAGUGCGGUAGGGGAGACUGGAAUUCCUGGUGUAGCGGUGAAAUGCGCAGAUAUCAGGAGGAACACCGGUGGCGAAGGCGGGACUCUGGGCCGAUACUGACGCUGAGGAGCGAAAGCGUGGGGAGCAAACAGG